This is a non-coding RNA of Camellia sinensis, 6649 nucleotides long. Lineage: Eukaryota; Viridiplantae; Streptophyta; Magnoliopsida; Ericales; Theaceae. The record is from RefSeq and is a predicted model, not a curated record.
UUCUCUGCCGACCUUUUCAUUUCCCUCAUUGUACUUUUCAACUUUCAAUGUUAAUGUUCUCCGUCUGUAGUUCCAUCAUUUCACGACAGUGUUCUGUCUCUUCAUGUCUCUCACAAUCUCUCUCCUCUCUCUCUUCUUCUCUCUCUCUCUCUCUCUCUCUCUCUCGGCCUCAGUCUUGCAGUGUUUCCCUUUAGCUUUCAGUUGUCCUUGCCUCAUCGGUCGACUGUCUUCUCUCACAUGAUUUGGCCACUACAGAUUCAUCGCCAACUCUCGCUCUCCGUCAAUCCAUUGCCCCUGACUCUCGCACUCAGUUCUCCGUCAACCCAUUGUGUCGAACUCUCCUCCAUGGCCUCACCCUUUACCCCUUUGUUAAAACUCAAAUAUUAUGGAAGAUGAGAGGAUGAAGACGUGAUUGGAUGAUCUGGUUUUUCUCAGAUCUAUAUCACCACCGACUGAAGUCCAAUUGCCGAACCAUUUACCAAAUGCUUUCAGUUUCAAAGGGUUGAGCGGUCGAAAUCGGGUGUUCACACUUCCAACCCGAAUUGGUUGGUUCGAAUGAUGGGUUGAUGACAGAACUGACUUGACUUGACCCUUGAGCAGCCCUAACUUGAACCGUACCCAACAAUCAGAAAAUUGAAGGAAAAAAAUGGAUAGGUAUUUUGCGUACCUGUAUGCAUGCAAAAGUACCCAACUUGUACCCAUACCAGAAACAUACGGGCUUGUUUCCGGGGCAAGUACCAACUGAACUAGUGUCAUGACACCUAUGAAGCACAUACACCUCCCUGAGGCAUGCAUACGAGUGUUGGAAAUCGGGCGAGGUUUUGGAGUCAUUGGUGGUGUGAUGUUGACAUGUUGGAUGUGGCCACUUACCCCAAUGUGGCUUGUGCAGCUUUGAAUGGGAGGCUGCGUUGUAUGAUUAUUUGAAGUGUGAUGGUGGGUGUGUGUUUUAGGAUAUUGAUUUACAGAGGGACUUUGAUGAUUGGGAUUUGGGGGAUUUGUUGGAGUGAGUUCACUGGGGCUGUUGUAUGCUUCUUACAUUGGGGAUGGAGCGGAUCGAAGGUUCUUUUGGCUGCAUUAGUGUAAAUUUUUAUUAUGAGACCCUUGUGGGCUCUAGGGAGGUCUCUCUUCCCUUCGUUAGGGGUUUGGGAUACAAAGAUUCCAUCUAAAGGGCCGUCUUUUGUUUGAUGUGCAGUGCAUGGUAAAAUCCUCCUAUUGACAAUUUGAUUAGAAGAAGGCAGGUGCAUGUAAAUUGGUGCUAUAUUUGCAAGGAUGAUGAGAAGAAUGUGAGCCACCUUCUCAUUCAUUGUGAUGUGGCUCGGGAGCUUUAGCCCUUCUUUUUAUGUUUGGUGUUGAUUGGGUGUUUCCCAAGGAGGUGGAGGAGUUGCUCUGGUACUAGGGAAGAAUUUGAGGAGGUCAAGUUUUGGUGCUUCGCUUCUCGCCUAUUAUGUGGUGGAUUUGAGGUGAGCUCAAUAGGAGAACCUUUGACAGUGGGGAAGAGCCAAUUUUAAAGAUUGUCCUUUUGUAUAGUUGGAUGUGGGGAGGGUUAAUCCUUUCUUGACUCAUUUUUUUUUGAAUUUGUAGAUACUUUUGACUAUUUUUGAUGUACAGUUGAGAUAGCCUUUGUACAUGGGUUGCAUCCUCUUGGUGCCUCUUAAUCAUAUACUUCAUGUCAGAAAAAAACGAAAGAAGAGAGGUUAAUCUCUGAAUAAAAUUAAUUAGAGUACAUGGAUGGCCAGAACAGUGUUUCAAAUGUAAAAAAGUGAGUACAAUUGCUUUGAUAACAUUGUGUACUAUUGUGGGGUGUAAGAUUGAGAGCAAUAACAGUCAGGUUGUAAUGGGAAAAAUACCAGGGAGUGUAUUUGUCUCACCAUAUGUAAUUUUUACUGUUAUUGUAUUGCCCUAUCUCACCUGCUUAUGUAGGUAUUUGCAGAAUCACAUAAAUUCUGUGUAAAUUUUAUUUUAUUGCAUCCAUUGCUUGGGUGGUUUUUUUUCUCAACAAAUCUGUGAUGCAGAGGACAAACAAUUGAAGUAUUUGACAUAAUGUGUGUCUGUAUGCUUUGAAGCAGUGUUUGGAUUGAAAGUGAAUACGUUAGUAAGAGUUCGCUUAUUCCUGUUGGUACUUAAAGGAAUCUAUUAUAUAUAUAUAUAUAUAUAUAUAUAUAUUAUCUUAUGGUUCUUCCUAAUGUCUUUUUGUUUACAGUGGAGGAAAAGAGAAAUUACAAAUUUUUUUUUUAUCGGAAUGGUGAGACAUUGUGCCCUCUCCCAUAGAUUCAAUGAUGUUUGAUGUGUUGCUAUUCGUUCUUUUGCAGAAUGCAUGAUACUCAUGUUAACCUACGAGGCAUGGAUACCUCUUCAGAAGUCACAUACACAUGUCGGACAUGUUGGGGAUAUGUUGGGGGACCCUUUUCAUUUAUUUAUUUUUUACUAGAAUAACAUACCAAGGUUGAUGAAUUUGACGAGAAUAAAUAUUUUGACAUAGAAUAAAUAUAUAACAUUAAGAAAAUAUCACAUAAAAAUUAUAUAAAAUUGUAUGCUUUGCAGGUGUCCCCGACGUGUUGUGUCUUAUAAUUUAAAAAAUUUGCAUGUCCGAGUGAUUGUGCUUUUUAGGUGUUAACCAUGAGAAUGUCCCAAAGCAAGGUACUCUUUCUAGCAGGAUCACUCAUAUAACUUGCCAGACUUCCCUAAAUACACAUUUUUUGUAUUUAUUGUUCACAAUCAAUUAUUUCCCUGCAGCUUAGCUUCCCAUAACAUGCUUGCAAAUUUGACAUAGUUUACUCAUGUUUCAUUGUUAAUUCCUAAGUUUCCAAUCUCAUCCACAAUUAUUUUCUAGGAUAGCAGAACAUGCUUCAGAUGCCAUCAACAGAUUUAUUUCUCAGUUCUGAUCAUGAAAGUAAAAUGGACCAGUUUUUCAUUAUUAUUAUUAUCAUCUCAAAUCAAGUUACUUUCAGUCUCCCUCGCUCCCUAGAAUCACCUUCAGUGGGGAUAAUGUCACUCUUCCUAACUGGUCCAUUUAUCAAUCUUCUUCCUGCAUGCUCAAGCUGUCUCAAUUGAUGUUUCUUAUUUUAUCUACAAUAUGUGCUACCUCUAUGUAGACAUCCUAUUUUUGACCGGCUUUAAGACUUGGGUGCUCUAUGAAAAGCUCCCGAUGAAGAAAUCGGAGAUCGCUCCAAGCAAUAAGUUAGGGAUGGAGAGUGACAAACUUCCCUAUACCUGUUUUGGCUAAAAGAUUUUCUAGACUCUUAAAACCUAUUUUCAAAAUGUUUUUAAGGCAAUUGGUACUUUUUCAUUCAUUUGGCCGUUCUUAGUAGUAUGUUUUCCAAAAGUAUUUAAUUCACUUUUUAAAAAGAGUAAGCUUAGAAAGGCAGAAUGAAUGAGAAAACUCGAGAAACCUUUCAAGAAAAUAAGCUAGAUAAGGCUAGGUCAGCUAAACAGCUUUUCAAAACUACAAGCCGGACAAUUUAUAUCCGGCAGUGAACAUAAUGAUCUCGUGAUGCGUGGCUGGAUCUUUUCAACCUCACCGGAGCUUUUUUUGAAGAAAUACGCCAAACUACUCGAUGCCGGCCGGACAAGUCUUAUCUGGUGCAACCUGUUUUGACGUCAACCAAGUAGCUUUCUUGUGAGGUGUCCCAAGGAUCUUGGAAUAUUCCAUCCGGAUCCUAGAGAUUUAAAGGCACAUUCCAAGCCUUCCAAGCCUAUAAAACCCCCCCUCUUUGGAGGAUUAAGGGUUCCAAAAAUUCUAACUCCUAAAGGAUUCCCUAAAAUUCUAGGUAAUGACUUAGUUAAUUAGGUAAUCAAUCAACUAAUUUGAGUGGGAUUUGGACAUUGGAACUGAUACACUUAAGAUUACUCUCUUCAUCCCUUUGUGUGGAGACUUCGAGCGAGGGACCUCUACUGGCCAGAGGGUGCUUGGAUUAGAGUUUGUGACCAGUUUGGGCCCUCUCUUUACUAGCUUAGAGGUAAUCCCUACUUCCAUUCUUAAAAUUCUUGCAAUUUCUAUUUCUAUUCUUUUUCUGUUUGAAGCUUUCUUGAGAUUUUGAGAUCAUUCUUGGGUGGUUGUUGAUAAUAUAUUUGGAUUCUCUUUUCUUCCUCACCUUUCUGUAGUUGGUGGAGCCUAUAUAGAGACUUUGGCUAAGUUCGAAUUGCUUUUUCUUUUUGUUGAUUUGUUAUGGGUUAAAAACCCAAGCAUGGUUUUCUCUAUGAGAAGAGAUUGGUUCUCUCCUCCCGAACCCAUUUUACAUGGAUUUGAGUAGCUCAUACUCAUUUCAAUGAGUAUGGAGAGGAGAACCCUUCGCUUCUCGUAGAGUUUUCCUUUUUCUAUACUUUUAUAUAUUUUUUUAUUAUUUUGAUAAAUCAUUGAUGAUGUAGAAGCCCAGGCAUGGCUUCCUCCUCGAGUAUAGAUUGAAUCUCCCCUCGCCAUUGUAUUUCAUGAAUUUGGGUAGUUUGUACCUAUUUUCAUGUGUUAGAGGCCGAGAAUCUCUUUAUCCUCGUUGGAGUUCCCUUUAUUUCAUUUUAUUGUAUUUUCAUGAUUAUUAUUCAUUAUAUCCAUUGCGUGCGUUGGAACAGGUCUCCUUUCUCCUAUCUAUACUCUCUAUCUCUUCUUCCCUUUAUCUUAUUUUAGCUUUAUUUUGUCUUCAUAAAAUUUACAUGUCUAGUCUAGGAUCAUGCAUUUGAGCUUGGAGCAUUAUAUUUUGGUAGUUAUGUGGUGUGUAGCUUCAAUGAUUUACAUGCCAUCUUAUUAGAAUCAGGGCUCAUAGGACCCAUCGUGCUUGAAUCUUGCAUUAGCUAUCAUAUCUAGGAUCAUGCAUAUUUCUAAUUAAUUGUUUUCUGUUAUGCUUAGCUGGAGUACUCGGUGAGUUUUCUAGUUUUCUUUUAUCUUCCUUUGCACAUCAUUUAGUUUGAUAUCUAGGAUCAUGCAUUGAUUUCUAACUCUUUAUGCUCAUGGCAUGGUGCGGAGGAGUACUAGGUGAGCCUCUUUCAUCUUCGCAUCCUGAGUAUGUGAUUGUUUCUUAUUGUGUCUAGAAUGAUAGUAUGAGGCUAAGUGCUUAUGUGAUGUAUCUCCAUGUUUGCUCAUUGUGUGGAGGCUUUGUUGCCUAAGUUCGAAUGACUUUGAUCUCUUCGCAUGAUGGUUAUCUCGAUUUUUCAUGAGAUUUCUGCUUUAAAACCCUUUGCAAAUGGCAAGAGAGAUUAGAGCAUUCUGAAAUAGGUGAUUUGGUCUAUACUUGUCUGCUCUACAUAGUAAGGAUAACGAUAAUAAUUGGGCUAUAUAAUCAUAUUGUGUUAAUAAUUCUUUCUCAUAUCAAGAAUUAGUGGAGGCCGAUUUUCGAUCGGAUGAGCAGGGGUGCUCAAUUCAUGACCUUCCCUCCUCAUACCUAACUCUUGAGUCGAGACACUUUGGUUAGGACGGACUAUGGCCUUUGGCACGAGUCAAGGUUUCCUAGUUUCCUCCAAAAGAUUAGGCGGCGACUCUGAGUCUGAUGUGUAGUCCAUUUUGGCAUUUCUUGUGAUUAGUAGAUUUUCUUUGGAUUUGUCAGAUUUGGACUCUCUUUCUACUUUGUAUUGCACUCAUGAAGCCAGACCGAGGGUUUAAACUGUCGGGUUCGUUGGAUGCCCUCCAGGAGAAUUUAUAUUCCUAAUCCUAUAUCCCCUAGUUUUUCCACACAUCCAUCCCAACAUUCUCAUCUGGGUUACAUUCCUUCUACUAACAUGUUUCUUGAUUGUCCAGCAUUAUGUAACCAUAAACUAUAGUUGGUCUCAUAGUCAUCUUGUAAAAUGUUUCUUUAGUCUCAUGGGAAUUCCUUCACUGUUGCACAAUAAGAUACAAGUUAACUGCAUAAAAGUUCUAUACUAUAUUUCAAUCUAAUCAAGCCCUUAACACAACUUUUCUUUUAUAUCUACAAUCAGAUCAUUUACUAUCUAUUUGGAACAAAUCAAGAUCAUUGUUUGUUAUGUUUGAAUAUGUGGAUACUCGGAGAGUUUCAUCAUAUUGUGGUAAACUAGAACAUACUGUAUAUCAAUCUUGUUGAGAUUUCAAUUGGUUUUAGUAGAUAUAUAUUGAGCUUUCUAUCUUUUAUUCUUUUAAUGUUUCAAACCCUUAAUACAAUCUGGAUAUUCGAGUAUUUCUCAUCACUUGUUUUUGUAUGCAUGUUGUAACUGAUGUUUUAACUUGUCCUUUUGAGUAGUCCAAUCAUGCUUAGUGACAUUCAAUUGCUUUUAUGCGCCGUACUCUGAUUUGCUUUAUUAAUUUUUUGCUAACCUAUGUCAAACAAAUUUGUCAUAAUUGAAAUAUUUUAUACUAAUUUUUUUGAGCAGGCAUUGGAUGAAAGGAGGAAAGGAAGAGCAUAGACCCCUUUCUUCAUUUAGCAUAUUGUUUAUAUAUUCAUUAUUCAUUCUUUGUAGAAAGUAAAGAACAAACAAUAAAUAUGUACAAAGUUUAUGGAUUAUUUUCAAUAUAAAAAAUAAGAACAUUUAUAUCUCUCUCUCUCUCUCUCUCUCUCUCUCUCUCUCUCUUCCCCCACAAUGUAGUUAUAAGAAUAAAGGGAGUCACCUCUAGACUAUGAAUUGCAAAGUCGUAUUAGUUUUAGAAUUUGAAUUUCUGUAAUAUUUAUUUAUUUAUUUAUUUAUUGCAGAGAUGAUUAAUCUGCAAUCUCUA